RNAcentral lists this ribosomal RNA (225 nucleotides) under uncultured bacterium. Its description in RNAcentral is "partial 16S ribosomal RNA". It matches the Rfam family "Bacterial small subunit ribosomal RNA", at positions 116 to 334 of the family's 1533-position model. The record is from RNAcentral.
CGUGGGUAACCUACCUCAUAGUGGGGGAUAACAGUCGGAAACGACUGCUAAUACCGCAUAGGACAUGGGAUCACAUGAUUCCGUGAGGAAAGGUGGCGCAAGCUAUCGCUAAGAGAUGGACCCGCGGUGCAUUAGCUAGUUGGUAGGGUAACGGCCUACCAAGGCGAUGAUGCAUAGCCGACCUGAGAGGGUGAUCGGCCACAUUGGGACUGAGACACGGCCCAA